GAUCCUGGCUCAGAUUGAACGCUGGCGGAAUGCUUUACACAUGCAAGUCAAACGGUAGAGGGGGCAACCCCUCGAGAGUGGCGAACGGGUGAGUAAUAUAUCGGAACGUGCCCAGUCGUGGGGGAUAACGUAGCGAAAGUUACGCUAAUACCGCAUACGAUCUACGGAUGAAAGCGGGGGAUCGCAAGACCUCGCGCGAUUGGAGCGGCCGAUAUCAGAUUAGGUAGUUGGUGGGGUAAAGGCUCACCAAGCCAACGAUCUGUAGCUGGUCUGAGAGGACGACCAGCCACACUGGAACUGAGACACGGACCAGACUCCUACGGGAGGCAGCAGUGGGGAAUUUUGGACAAUGGGCGCAAGCCUGAUCCAGCAAUGCCGCGUGCAGGAUGAAGGCCUUCGGGUUGUAAACUGCUUUUGUACGGAACGAAACGGUGAGCUCUAAUAAAGUUUGCUAAUGACGGUACCGUAAGAAUAAGCACCGGCUAACUACGUG
RNAcentral lists this ribosomal RNA (493 nucleotides) under uncultured bacterium. RNAcentral's name for it is "bacterial SSU rRNA". It matches the Rfam family "Bacterial small subunit ribosomal RNA", at positions 15 to 507 of the family's 1533-position model. The record is from RNAcentral.